AACGAACGCUGGCGGCGCGUCUUAAGCAUGCAAGUCGAACGGCAAGAGAGAAGCUUGCUUCUCUCCUAGAGUGGCGGACUGGUGAGGAACACGUGGGUAAUCUACCCUUAAGAUGGGGAUAGCUGCUAGAAAUAGCAGGUAAUACCGAAUACACUCAGUUUUUCAUAAGAAGGAUUGAGGAAAGGAAGCUACGGCUUCGCUUGAGGAUGAGCUUGCGUCCCAUUAGCUUGUUGGUGAGGUAACGGCUCACCAAGGCGACGAUGGGUAUCCGGCCUGAGAGGGUGAUCGGACACAUUGGGACUGAGAUACGGCCCAAACUCCUACGGGAGGCAGCAGCUAAGAAUAUUCCGCAAUGGACGAAAGUCUGACGGAGCGACGCCGCGUGGAUGAAGAAGGCUGAAAAGUUGUAAAAUCCUUUUGUUGAUGAAGAAUAAGGGUGAGAGGGAAUGUUCAUCUGAUGACGGUAAUCAGCGAAUAAGCCCCG
RNAcentral lists this ribosomal RNA (484 nucleotides) under Treponema sp. oral taxon 228. Its description in RNAcentral is "bacterial SSU rRNA". It matches the Rfam family "Bacterial small subunit ribosomal RNA", at positions 29 to 495 of the family's 1533-position model. The record is from RNAcentral. Lineage: Bacteria; Pseudomonadati; Spirochaetota; Spirochaetia; Treponematales; Treponemataceae.